GCUCGCAUGGCUUAGAUGGUAAAGCGCAGCACUAGUAAUGCUGAGAUCCUCGGUUCGAGUCCGAGUGUGAGCA
Molecule: transfer RNA, 73 nt
Organism: Aspergillus aculeatus ATCC 16872
Lineage: Eukaryota; Fungi; Ascomycota; Eurotiomycetes; Eurotiales; Aspergillaceae
Rfam family: tRNA
About the family: Transfer RNA (tRNA) molecules are approximately 80 nucleotides in length. Their secondary structure includes four short double-helical elements and three loops (D, anti-codon, and T loops).
Source: Rfam